Molecule: unclassified non-coding RNA, 266 nt
Filed under: uncultured fungus
Lineage: Eukaryota; Fungi
Description: sequence contains ITS1
Source: RNAcentral
GCCUUAGGUGUCUUCUCCGCGGGUGUUGUCAUGAUCGGCUCCUCCGCGUGCAUUUACCUUCGAUCCACCCAAUGGGUUGACCUUGUGCACUAGUAUGAUGCCACUGACGAGAGCCCAGCGUAUCAGCCAAAUCUUCAUGCCUCGUGUUUUCCCUGCAAACCUGAAGAAAAAAGAAAGCCGACGAGCGGACUCGAACCGCUUACCCCUGCUCCAGCUACGAGUGAUAAGUCAGGCGUUGCAGGGAGUUGCAGAGGCUUGCAAUUCAC